GAGUGUAUAGCUCAGUGGUAGAGCACAUACUUAGCAUAUGAGGUCCUGGGUUCAAUCCCCAGUACUGCCA
RNAcentral lists this transfer RNA (70 nucleotides) under Camelus bactrianus (Bactrian camel). It matches the Rfam family "tRNA". Rfam says of the family: Transfer RNA (tRNA) molecules are approximately 80 nucleotides in length. Their secondary structure includes four short double-helical elements and three loops (D, anti-codon, and T loops). Further hydrogen bonds mediate the characteristic L-shaped molecular structure. tRNAs have two regions of fundamental functional importance: the anti-codon, which is responsible for specific mRNA codon recognition, and the 3' end, to which the tRNAs corresponding amino acid is attached (by aminoacyl-tRNA synthetases). tRNAs cope with the degeneracy of the genetic code in two manners: having more than one tRNA (with a specific anti-codon) for a particular amino acid; and 'wobble' base-pairing, i.e. permitting non-standard base-pairing at the 3rd anti-codon position. The record is from Rfam by way of RNAcentral. RNAcentral also lists the same sequence under 2 other names. Lineage: Eukaryota; Metazoa; Chordata; Mammalia; Artiodactyla; Camelidae.